RNAcentral lists this ribosomal RNA (593 nucleotides) under Sesquicillium rossmaniae. RNAcentral's name for it is "eukaryotic LSU rRNA". It matches the Rfam family "Eukaryotic large subunit ribosomal RNA", at positions 1 to 607 of the family's 3401-position model. Lineage: Eukaryota; Fungi; Ascomycota; Sordariomycetes; Hypocreales; Bionectriaceae. The record is from RNAcentral.
UUGACCUCAGAUCAGGUAGGAAUACCCGCUGAACUUAAGCAUAUCAAUAAGCGGAGGAAAAGAAACCAACAGGGAUUGCCCUAGUAACGGCGAGUGAAGCGGCAACAGCUCAAAUUUGAAAUCUGGCGCAAGCCCGAGUUGUAAUUUGUAGAGGAUGUUUCUGGCGACGUGCCUUCCGAGUUCCCUGGAACGGGACGCCAUAGAGGGUGAGAGCCCCGUACGGUUGGUUGCCUAGCCUCUGUGAAACUCCUUCGACGAGUCGAGUAGUUUGGGAAUGCUGCUCUAAAUGGGAGGUAUACGUCUUCUAAAGCUAAAUACCGGCCAGAGACCGAUAGCGCACAAGUAGAGUGAUCGAAAGAUGAAAAGCACUUUGAAAAGAGGGUUAAAUAGUACGUGAAAUUGUUGAAAGGGAAGCGUUUAUGACCAGACUUGAGCAGGUUGAUCAUCCGUGGUUCUCCGCGGUGCACUCUGCCUGUUCAGGCCAGCAUCAGUUUGGUUCGGGGGAUAAAGGCUUCGGGAAUGUAGCUCCCUCGGGAGUGUUAUAGACCGUUGCGUAAUACCCUGAUCCGGACUGAGGUUCGCGCUCUGCAAGG